Molecule: long non-coding RNA, 2316 nt
Filed under: Homo sapiens (human)
Lineage: Eukaryota; Metazoa; Chordata; Mammalia; Primates; Hominidae
Description: HSALNT0381113
Source: RNAcentral
AGUCUCCCUGCAGCUUCAAGUGGCAUCAAAGAGGGUUCUUGCUCUGGGAAAAGCAGCAAGAGACAUCUCUGAAUCAGACUUGGUCCAAAACCAGGAGUCUGUAUUCUGUCCAAAACCAGAAAUCUGUGACUUCUCCUGAUCCCUCUGUAGCAGUCAUGUGACAAGAUCGGCCCACAGCCCUGAUUACAACUUCUGCCACCUAGAUCCUGAAUCCAUAGAUGCCAUCUCUGCUCCGAAGUCUGAUGACAAGAAUAAUGAUGAUGACUGAUGAUGACAAACUGUUCUAAAUGCCUUCUGUGUAUUAUCUCAUGCGAUCCUCAGAGCAACCCUUUGAAAGUAGAUACACUACUAUUCCAUUUCACAAAUGAGGAGGCUGAAGCCCGGAAAGACUUAGAAAAUUUCCAAGGCCUUAUCAAUAUUAUGUCUGAAGUAGCUUCAGACCACUUGUCUUCAUCACUCCCCAUUAAGCCUGCUGGGUUUUCCCUCUGAAGUUCUCCUAAAGAACAUAUCCACACUAAUUAUUCUGACAGUUUUGACAGGAAGACAGAGGAGGGCUUACACUAUGCACCAAUAGCAAACAACUAUUAAUAAAGUUUCAUAUUAAUUAUGUUCUCCAAAAUCCCUUCUUGACAAUCUUAUCCCUUCCAUGGCAUUUCUCUGUGUUGCCUCCAUCCAUAAACCUCAGCAGGUUGUCAGUUGUCAGCAACUUGAGAAUCCCCUGCAAACUUUUGGUUCUCUUUCCUCAAUUCUAUAGAACAUUCAGCUCUAUUCAGUCCUUGCUCCUUGGCUAGCCUACAAUACUACCCAGGUGUUCAGCUACAAACUGCCUUCCCCAGAAUGAAUACCACAUACUCAGAAGGUAAUCAUGGUAUAUGGUGCUGAGAUAUGGUGUUUCUAUUAGAAUUUGUUUCUAUGUGCUUACAAAGCCUUUAUAAUUAUAAUUUUAAUGGCUCACUAAAUUAUCUCCUGCUCAUGUUACAUAGUAAGCCAUUUUUAAUUGUUGAAUAUUUUGGUGGUUUUGUUUGUUUUAUUUAUAUAUCACAACAAACAUUUUUAUUCAUUUGGACUUUGUGUAUGUUGAAUUAUUGCUUUAAAAUAAAUUCCCAGAGGAGAGAGUACUCAGUCAAAGGAUAUGAAUAUGUUUAUGUUGCAUUAUUUUACAAAUCAGUUGUAUCAGCUAACAGAGUUGUGUAUAAGUUAAAAGCCAUACCAAAGCUUUGUCAACACUAUUUCUAUUUUCUUACUAUGUAGAAGCAUGAAAAUAUUCCCUCAUGUACAGAAGAUCCCUGACUUACAAUGGUUCAACUUAUGAUUUUUCAAUUUUGUCCUGGCUUUAUGGGGUAUUGAAUGCAUUUUUGACUCACAUAUUAUGUUUAUCAGGAAACCCAUCUGAAGUCAAGGAGCAUCCACGUUUGUUUCUAUUUGUGUUUUAUCUAAUGUGAGUGCUUUUUACAAACACUUUGAUCUUUACCUAUAUGGUGAAACAAUUUUUCUUUGUUGUUUUGUUUCUGCAUUUCAAUACUGUUUCACACAAAGACCACUUUUGGUCUGCUAUACUUGAUACAAGUAUUUUAACUUCAGUUUUACUGCUUUUUCAUUUUUCUACAAGUUUUAGAUUUCAAGUAUAUUUCAAAUAUACUUUGAAUUGGUCAGGCUAAACCUUUGCAAUUACUGUUUUUGCUUCAAAGGUGAGAAAUCCACCAUUUCCAAAGAUCAGAUAAUGAUUCUAUUUUCUCCUUUAAAACAUUGUUUUAUGUUUCCCACUUUCAUAGACAUGGCCUAUAUUUUGGAGUCUGGUAGUAAUAUUUGGUGUUGGGCAGGUUUUCAUGUUUCCAAAUUUUCAAUAAGACUGUUUUGUCAGGGCAGGGUUGGUAAAGGGAAGAGUGCAAACACUGUUUUCCCAGAGCCAAUGACCCAAGAAGGAAGGAGUGGUGAAGGCAGAGCACACGGGGGGUGCUGCAAGGGCGGGAGGCAGAGCAUCUACCUUACAGUCUGGUCUUUGGAUGUCCCUGUGCUGGAACUUUCAGUUAGGCAUGAGACCUUAGUUAUGACCUGUGAUAUGGGAACUAGAUUGAUGGGUUUAACUGCUUCAAGGUAGUUUAGAAAAGCCACUUGAAGACCUAUCUUUUACUUUAGCAUGAAUAUUUUUGACCAAAAUUUGCAAAGAAAGGGAAUUUUAUUUAAGCCAGGUAUAAUUGUACCUGGCUUAAAUUUAUAAUUUUAUUUACUUAUGCUCAAUGUGAGCAUAAUUGUAGGUUUAAAGAAGAAAAUGGAAUUUUAGUUUUUUUUCCUUUUAUUAAAUGAGGCCAUAUAAAA